AACUUUUGGCAACGGAUCUCGUGGCUCUCGCAUCGAUGAAGAACACAGCGAAAUGCGAUAAGUAUUGUGAAUUGCAGAAUUCAGUGAAGCAUCGAAUCUUUGAACGCACCUUGCACCCUUUGGUAUCCCCAAAGGGUAUGCUCGUUUGAGUACCAUUGUACCCUCACACUUCUUUUCCUUUGGACUGGGAGCGGUGGACUUGGGUGUUGCUGCUUGACCGCGGCUCACCCGAAAUGCAUUAGUGCAUCUCCUGGUUGGACAUAGUACGGCGUGAUAAGUAUCUUCGCCGGCACCUCACCUCAGAGGGUGGCUGAUCAGGGGCCCUGUGCUUUCGAACCGUCUUCGGACAAUGACUGACAACUUGGUCUCAAAUCGAGUAGGACUACCCGCUGAACUUAAGCAUAUCAAUAAGCGGAGGGU
This 420-nucleotide unclassified non-coding RNA is filed under the name uncultured Basidiomycota. RNAcentral describes it as "sequence contains ITS2". The stretch from base 1 to 155 matches the Rfam family "5.8S ribosomal RNA". The record is from RNAcentral. Lineage: Eukaryota; Fungi; Basidiomycota.